UUAGUGAAAUCCAUCGCUAUUUUUUGAGACAACAUGUUUCAAAGGGGCCUGCUGACGGGGUGUUGGCAGCCACCGUGCCUCGUACACCACACAUUCUAAACACUACUCAGUUAUAUCCCGAGACAUGUAAGGCCAGUAGCACCUAGCUUGAGCACACUGUAAAGUCUUUAUUGCAUCAAAAUGUCCAGCAAGAGAAUGACCCUAACACUUCUUUUUGCAGAUCACUUGGAACAACAAUCUGCACAUCAGGAUCGCCAGGGGGAUGCCGAACCUGCCGACAGAGAAGACAGUCACUAACGAUUAGUUUUGGAUAUUCCCUCCAAAAGUGUCUAUGCUCUGCAGAGCACUUAUUUAUCUUUGCAAAGGGAGGCCUGUUAUUUGAAAGAGAGGUCAAUAGGGUGACCUUGAGCCACUUGGUGGACCGAUGAAGUAACAUCCACAGAAUCUGCAGUCACUGUUGGAUCAAGAGGAGAGUUUGAGGGAUUUGAAGCAGUAGAACAGUCAACUGCAGGGGAUGCUGCACUUGCCAAUAACCUGAUGAAAGGUCCAUGGUGCUGAAAACUGAAGAGCCUCUGAGCGCAUCCAGUGUGUCAUCAGUAUGCGGGGCAGCCCAUGGGCUAUGACUGACUUCAAUAAGUCCCUUAUCCAGCAUUUCAUUCACCUGUGAUUCGAUGAUCUCCUGCAUUUGUGGUGAGGUGAGGUAAGCUCAUUUACGAACGGGGGGUGCAGUGCUGGUAUCAAUUUUGCGCUUUACAAUGUCUGUCCGUCUAAAAUCAUUGGGGUUUUUACUAAAAAUGUCCAUGUACUUUAGGAAAAGGUCAUUAAGUUGAGACUUUUCCACAGGAGAUAAGUGUUCCUCAUUCAGAUCAAAUGGCACUUGGAGCUGUUGAUUGAAUUGAUUUGAGUUGGUGGUUUGGUCCAUGUCAACGCGACAUAUUGGCUGAAUUGGAGUACUGUUCAUGACAACGUCCUUAGGAAAUUAGGAAAAUGGCUUUCAAUUUUUACUCCAUUCACCCCUUUAGUUUCCUCUAAAAAUAUUUUAAAAGCCUCUACAGGGUAUCUAGGUUGUUUGCUGCUAUUUUGUGAUAUAGGAAACCUUGCUGGCAUCAGAGACCGGGCUGUCAAUGUCGCUGCUGUCCGACAUCUCUUUUUUCUGUGCAACCAGCUUACUGGCCUGCUUGCUGGCCUGCAUAGCAGCCACCACAUUCCUCUGUUUGCUUCGCCUCUUUAACGGGGCUGAAGCCUGCAGUUCCAUCGCCUCCUCUGCUUCACCUGUCUCUCAUGCCACUCCAGCUCCAAAAAUCAACUCUGCACUGUUCUGUCCCUCCACCUGCACCUCUCAUUUCCCUUCCUGAUCCCCACACCCUAAAUGCUCCUCAUCGCCCCUCACCUCCACCUGCUGCUCUCCCUGCACACCAUCCUUCUCUACCACUUCACUUUCACCCUGACCACCAUUCACCACCAUCAUUCACCCCAUCCCCACACAACACUGUGCUUCCAUCCUUUCCCACACCUACAUUCAUUUUCACACUUUUCUCACUUUCCACUACCGACACCUCAGUACAGUACCUUCCGCCUGCUCCUCUGCAGUGGGCUCCUCCGCCGCCACCGCGGGUUCCUCCACUGCAACUGCGGGUUCCUAUGCCGCAGCCGCCGCGGGAUCCUCCGCUGCGGCAGCGGGCUCCUCCGCUGCUCCAGCCUCACCAGGUGGGCUCCCCACCUGCUCAGCAGCAGAGGGCUGCUGCUUUGCACUCGGCAGGGCCGGCCCGGACCUGUCGGGACACAUUUUAAUAAUGUGCCCCUCCUGAACGCAACCAAAACACUUCAUGUUAGAGGACGUAGCAAACAAGAUGUAAUCAGAAUCAUCUACUCUAACAUGAAAUCGGAGGUUGAGUU
Molecule: non-coding RNA, 1896 nt
Organism: Poecilia reticulata (guppy)
Lineage: Eukaryota; Metazoa; Chordata; Actinopteri; Cyprinodontiformes; Poeciliidae
Source: RefSeq, a predicted model, not a curated record